RNAcentral lists this transfer RNA (87 nucleotides) under Pseudomonadota bacterium. RNAcentral's name for it is "tRNA-Leu". It matches the Rfam family "tRNA". Rfam says of the family: Transfer RNA (tRNA) molecules are approximately 80 nucleotides in length. Their secondary structure includes four short double-helical elements and three loops (D, anti-codon, and T loops). Further hydrogen bonds mediate the characteristic L-shaped molecular structure. tRNAs have two regions of fundamental functional importance: the anti-codon, which is responsible for specific mRNA codon recognition, and the 3' end, to which the tRNAs corresponding amino acid is attached (by aminoacyl-tRNA synthetases). tRNAs cope with the degeneracy of the genetic code in two manners: having more than one tRNA (with a specific anti-codon) for a particular amino acid; and 'wobble' base-pairing, i.e. permitting non-standard base-pairing at the 3rd anti-codon position. RNAcentral also lists the same sequence under 1 other name. Lineage: Bacteria; Pseudomonadati; Pseudomonadota. The record is from RNAcentral.
GCGGGUGUGGCGGAACUGGUAGACGCGCCAGACUCAAAAUCUGGUUCCGGCAACGGAGUGGGAGUUCGAGUCUCCCCACCCGCACCA